GAUGAACGCUGGCGGUGUGCCUAAUACAUGCAAGUCGUACGCAUUCUCGUUUCUGAUUGACGGUGCUUGCACCUAAUUGACGAGACAUUGGAAUGAGUGGCGGACGGGUGAGUAACACGUGGGUAACCUGCCCAGAAGCGGGGGAUAACAUUUGGAAACAGAUGCUAAUACCGCAUAAAAGUCAAAACCACAUGGUUUUGAUUUAAAAGAUGGCCUUUGUGCUAUCACUUCUGGAUGGACCCGCGGCGUAUUAGCUAGUUGGUAAGGUAAUGGCUUACCAAGCAAUGAUACGUAGCCGAACUGAGAGGUUGAUCGGCCACAAUGGGACUGAGACACGGCCCAUACUCCUACGGGAGGCAGCAGUAGGGAAUCUUCCACAAUGGGCGCAAGCCUGAUGGAGCAACACCGCGUGAGUGAAGAAGGGUUUCGGCUCGUAAAACUCUGUUGUUAAAGAAGAACGUAUCUAAGAGUAACUGCUUAGGUAGUGACGGUAUUUAACCAGAAAGCCACGGCUAACUACGUGCCAGCAGCCGCCGUAA
This 539-nucleotide ribosomal RNA is filed under the name uncultured bacterium. RNAcentral's name for it is "partial 16S ribosomal RNA". It matches the Rfam family "Bacterial small subunit ribosomal RNA", at positions 28 to 523 of the family's 1533-position model. The record is from RNAcentral.